Molecule: ribosomal RNA, 835 nt
Filed under: uncultured archaeon
Lineage: Archaea
Description: bacterial SSU rRNA
Rfam family: Archaeal small subunit ribosomal RNA
Source: RNAcentral
CCGUAGCCUGCUUUGCCAGUUUUCGGUUAAAUCCAUACGCUUAACGUAUGGGCUGCCGGAAAUACUACAAAGCUAGGGAGUGGGAGAGGUAGACGGUACUCGGUAGGAAGGGGUAAAAUCCUUUGAUCUAUUGAUGACCACCUGUGGCGAAGGCGGUCUACCAGAACACGUCCGACGGUGAGGGAUGAAAGCUGGGGGAGCAAACCGGAUUAGAUACCCGGGUAGUCCCAGCUGUAAACUAUGCAAACUCGGUGAUGCAUUGGCUUGAUGCCAAUGCAGUGCCGCAGGGAAGCCGUUAAGUUUGCCGCCUGGGAAGUACGUACGCAAGUAUGAAACUUAAAGGAAUUGGCGGGGGAGCACCACAAGGGGUGAAGCCUGCGGUUCAAUUGGAGUCAACGCCAGAAAUCUUACCCGGAGAGACAGCAGAAUGAAGGUCAAGCUGAAGACUUUACCAGACAAGCUGAGAGGUGGUGCAUGGCCGUCGCCAGCUCGUGCCGUGAGAUGUCCUGUUAAGUCAGGUAACGAGCGAGAUCCCUGCCUCUAGUUGCCACCAUUACUCUCAGGAGUAGUGGGGCGAAUUAGCGGGACAGCCGUAGUUAAUACGGAGGAAGGAAGGGGCCACGGCAGGUCAGUAUGCCCCGAAACUCUGGGGCCACACGCGGGCUGCAAUGGUAACGACAAUGUGUUCCGAAUCCGAAAGGAAGAGGUAAUCCAGAAACGUUACCACAGUUAUGACUGAGGGCUGCAACUCGCCCUCACGAAUAUGGAAUCCCUAGUAACUGCGUGUCAUUAUCGCGCGGUGAAUACGUCCCUGCUCCUUGCACACACCGCCCGU